RNAcentral lists this long non-coding RNA (229 nucleotides) under Elaeis guineensis (African oil palm). RNAcentral's name for it is "long non-coding RNA (EGUI_LNC066100)". Lineage: Eukaryota; Viridiplantae; Streptophyta; Magnoliopsida; Arecales; Arecaceae. The record is from RNAcentral.
CCCCCUGCGGUUGUUGAACCGGCUGCUCCCUCCCAACAAUGUUUUCCUCCUCUAAGGAGGGAAGCGAGGGUACAGAAGGGACGGAUGGGAUAGGGGUCCAAGCCUCCGGAACCGGCGGGAAGGAGCCCGAGGGGGAUGGAGUGGGUAAGGCAUUAGAGGGGCCGGCAUUUUCCUCUGUUUCUGAUGAUAAGUUGAGGUACUGUCGCCAACUACCCGAGUCAGCUUCAGA